This 287-nucleotide small RNA is filed under the name uncultured Blautia sp. RNAcentral's name for it is "5' ureB small RNA". It matches the Rfam family "5' ureB small RNA". The record is from RNAcentral. Lineage: Bacteria; Bacillati; Bacillota; Clostridia; Lachnospirales; Lachnospiraceae.
AUCUGCUGCGGGCAGAUGUAAUGAAUAUGGGUGUCAAUACCGCCUGCAGUGACAAUCAGCCCUUCUCCUGCCAGCGCUUCUGUGGACGCGCCUACAAUCAUCCCCGGAGUCACACCGUCCAUAACGGCAGGAUUUCCAGCCUUACCAAUACCCUUGAUUUUGCCGUCUUUGAUUCCGAUAUCCGCUUUCACAAUCCCUGUAUAGUCUACAAUCAGGGCGUUGGUAAUUACCAAAUCCAAAUCUCCGUCGCUGCUUUUUGUUUUUACAGACUGUCCCAUACCAUCACG